GGGCCAGUGGCACAAUGGAUACACGGGGCUGUCACUACAGAUCAGGAGAUUCCAGGUUCAACUCCUGGUUAGCUCA
Molecule: non-coding RNA, 76 nt
Organism: Ameiurus melas (black bullhead)
Lineage: Eukaryota; Metazoa; Chordata; Actinopteri; Siluriformes; Ictaluridae
Source: the annotation of a GenBank genome assembly